GGAUGCUGCAAACCGAAGGUUGAGUGGCACCGGGGUGACAUGGACAGAUGUAAAGAAAACUGUGUCUCCAGGCCUGUUAAGACCACAGUUCCCUUCGGUCCGAAACGAGUCUUGGUGACUGAGCAGAUUCCUUCUCAGCACCCAGGAUCAGCCAGCAGUGGCCAGGCCCAGUGGGUCCUGUGUCCUUCCAACUCCCAGCGUGUCUCUCCACAAGCACAGAAACCUGUCGCAGGUCAGAAGUCAGUGCUAAAGCAGUUGCCAGCUGCCAGCGUUCCUCGACCUGCGUCCCGGCUAAGUAACCCCCAGAAGAGUGAGCAGCCACAGCCUGCAGCCUCAGGAAAUUCUGAAAAGGAACAGACAUCCAUCCAGAAAACUGAAGACUCAAAAAGGGAGUGGACUUUGGAAGAUUUUGACAUUGGCCGCCCACUAGGAAAAGGGAAGUUUGGAAAUGUCUAUUUGGUGAGGGAGAAGCAAAGCAAGUUCAUCCUGGCUCUGAAGGUGCUGUUUAAAGUACAGCUGGAGAAGGCAGGUGUGGAGCACCAGCUUCGGAGAGAAGUGGAGAUCCAGUCCCACCUGCGGCACCCCAACAUCCUCGGGUUUAUGGGUAUUUCCAUGAUGCCACCAGAGUUUAUCUAAUUCUAGAAUAUGCGCCCCUUGGAACAGUGUAUAGAGAGCUUCAAAAACUCUCCAAGUUUGACGAGCAGAGAAUAGCUACCUACAUCACGGAGUUGGCAAAUGCUUUGUCCUACUGCCAUUCAAAGAGAGUCAUCCACAGAGACAUCAAGCCAGAGAACCUGCUGCUUGGGUCAAAUGCGGAGUUGAAGAGCGCAGACUUCGGGUGGUCUGCGCAUGCUCCAUCUUCCAGGAGAACCACGCUGUGUGGCACCGUGGACUACGGGCCCCCGGAUAUGAUUGAAGGUCGGAUGCAUGAUGAGAAGGUGGAUCUCUGGAGCCUGGGUGUGCUCUGCUAUGAGUUCCUAGUGGGGAUACCUUUGAGGGGACACCUUUGAGGCACACACUUAUCAGGAGACCUACAGAAGGAUAUCACGGGUUGAAUUCACAUUCCCUGACUUUGUGACAGAGGGAGCCAGGGACCUCAUUUCAAGACAGUUAAAACACAACUCAAGCCAAAGGCUAACACUAGCGGAAGUCCUUGAGUACCCUUGGAUCAAAGCUAAUUCCUCAAAACCUCCAACUGGCCACAGUAGCAAAGAGGCAACUAGCAAAUAAUCUUAGGGAAUCUGGAGCCAUGGG
Molecule: RNA transcript, 1254 nt
Organism: Rattus rattus (black rat)
Lineage: Eukaryota; Metazoa; Chordata; Mammalia; Rodentia; Muridae
Gene name: aurora kinase A-like
Exons: 1
Source: RefSeq, a predicted model, not a curated record